UGUCACAAUGCAGCAGCCCAGAUGAGUCUACCCUUGUGUUGCCAGUUGGUCUUCUUCCACUGCUGUAGCCACCCCCACAGGGCAUUAGCCACCAUCCAGGAGUCAGUGUAGAGAUGGACCACUGGCCA
Athene cunicularia (burrowing owl) is the source of this 128-nucleotide long non-coding RNA. RefSeq lists it as uncharacterized. NCBI's taxonomy places the organism in Eukaryota, Metazoa, Chordata, Aves, Strigiformes, Strigidae. The transcript has 3 exons. The record is from RefSeq and is a predicted model, not a curated record.